GGGUUGUGAGGUUAAGCGAAUAAGCGUACACGGUGGAUGCCCUGGCAGUCAGAGGCGAUGAAGGACGUGCUAAUCUGCGAAAAGCGUCGGUAAGGUGAUAUGAACCGUUAUAGCCGGCGAUGUCCGAAUGGGGAAACCCAGUGUGAUUCGUCACACUAUCGUUAACUGAAUACAUAGGUUAACGAGGCGAACCGGGGGAACUGAAACAUCUAAGU
RNAcentral lists this ribosomal RNA (215 nucleotides) under Klebsiella quasivariicola. RNAcentral's name for it is "partial 23S ribosomal RNA". It matches the Rfam family "Bacterial large subunit ribosomal RNA", at positions 1 to 207 of the family's 2925-position model. The record is from RNAcentral. Lineage: Bacteria; Pseudomonadati; Pseudomonadota; Gammaproteobacteria; Enterobacterales; Enterobacteriaceae.